UACGAAGGGUGCAAGCGUUACUCGGAAUUACUGGGCGUAAAGCGUGCGUAGGUGGUUUGUUAAGUCUGAUGUGAAAGCCCUGGGCUCAACCUGGGAAUGGCACUGGAUACUGGCAAGCUAGAGUGUGGCAGAGGGUAGUGGAAUUCCUGGUGUAGCAGUGAAAUGCGUAGAGAUCAGGAGGAACAUCCGUGGCGAAGGCGACUGCCUGGGCCAACACUGACACUGAGGCACGAAAGCGUGGAGAGCAAACAGGAUUAGAUACCCUGGUAGUCCACGCCCUAAACGAUGCGAACUGGAUGUUGGGUGCAAUUUGGCACGCAGUAUCGAAGCUAACGCGUUAAGUUCGCCGCCUGGGGAGUACGGUCGCAGGACUGAA
Molecule: ribosomal RNA, 376 nt
Filed under: uncultured bacterium
Lineage: Bacteria
Description: bacterial SSU rRNA
Rfam family: Bacterial small subunit ribosomal RNA
Source: RNAcentral